This 585-nucleotide ribosomal RNA is filed under the name Fusarium sp. JD-109.2. RNAcentral describes it as "eukaryotic LSU rRNA". The stretch from base 219 to 372 matches the Rfam family "5.8S ribosomal RNA". RNAcentral also lists the same sequence under 1 other name. The record is from RNAcentral. Lineage: Eukaryota; Fungi; Ascomycota; Sordariomycetes; Hypocreales; Nectriaceae.
UCUUGGUCAUUUAGAGGAAGUAAAAGUCGUAACAAGGUCUCCGUUGGUGAACCAGCGGAGGGAUCAUUACCGAGUUUACAACUCCCAAACCCCUGUGAACAUACCUAUACGUUGCCUCGGCGGAUCAGCCCGCGCCCCGUAAAACGGGACGGCCCGCCCGAGGACACCUAAACUCUGUUUUUAGUGGAACUUCUGAGUAAAACAAACAAAUAAAUCAAAACUUUCAACAACGGAUCUCUUGGUUCUGGCAUCGAUGAAGAACGCAGCAAAAUGCGAUAAGUAAUGUGAAUUGCAGAAUUCAGUGAAUCAUCGAAUCUUUGAACGCACAUUGCGCCCGCCAGUAUUCUGGCGGGCAUGCCUGUUCGAGCGUCAUUUCAACCCUCAAGCUCAGCUUGGUGUUGGGACUCGCGGUAACCCGCGUUCCCCAAAUCGAUUGGCGGUCACGUCGAGCUUCCAUAGCGUAGUAAUCAUACACCUCGUUACUGGUAAUCGUCGCGGCCACGCCGUAAAACCCCAACUUCUGAAUGUUGACCUCGGAUCAGGUAGGAAUACCCGCUGAACUUAAGCAUAUCAAUAAGCGGAGGA